Molecule: ribosomal RNA, 240 nt
Filed under: uncultured soil bacterium
Lineage: Bacteria
Description: partial 16S ribosomal RNA
Rfam family: Bacterial small subunit ribosomal RNA
Source: RNAcentral
AGAUUGAACGCUGGCGGCAUGCCUUACACAUGCAAGUCGAACGGCAGCACGGGAGCAAUCCUGGUGGCGAGUGGCGAACGGGUGAGUAAUACAUCGGAACGUGCCCAGUAGUGGGGGAUAACCCGGCGAAAGCCGGACUAAUACCGCAUACGACCUACGGGUGAAAGCAGGGGAUCGCAAGACCUUGCGCUAUUGGAGCGGCCGAUGUCAGAUUAGCUAGUUGGUAGGGGUAAAAGCCCA